Molecule: long non-coding RNA, 1401 nt
Filed under: Homo sapiens (human)
Lineage: Eukaryota; Metazoa; Chordata; Mammalia; Primates; Hominidae
Description: non-protein coding TRHDE-AS1:12
Source: RNAcentral
GCAAUGUCCUGAGAUAAGGAAGAACUGCCUGAAACAGCCUGGAUCUUAUUCCUGUACUUCCUAGGGAAUGUAACAUCUCAAGUUAAAGAGGAACUGCCCGGAACAGCCCGGGGAUUGUUCCUCUCUCCUGAGAAGGAAGAUUACCUCCAAAGCUCAUCCACUGAGUCACACUGCCCCUGUGGUGGAGGGCGGGCUGCCUUUCCAGGUUCCUCAGCUGUGGUGUAACUGAAGCAGGCACAAUCAAGACUCCAUCUGCUCGAGGCAGCUUUCUCGAACCUUGGGGAACCUACUCACAAUGGAUCACAGGCUUCUUUUGUUUUGUUUCUUGCUGCCUAUCUGUUGGGAAGCAAAAAUCAGCUGAGUGAAGAUGAGGAAGAAGGUGUUAAAGGUUUGAAGAAAAAAGGAAAAGGAUAUACUAAUCUAAGAGGACAAGUAAGUAGAACAUAGAUAAUGAAAAUGCUGGCCCUUAGGACUGUUGGGCCUAAAUGCUCAUAUUAUAUUGGUAGUCACAAAUUUGAACUUUCUCUAGAGCCAAUUUUUGCAUGUGUGUGCAGGCCUGGAGUAGUUGGAGAGUUGGAUUUAAUAGAAUUGAGGGUCAAGCAACUACAACCAGGGAAGAGUGGGACAAGGGAGAUAAAGGAUAUUGGCAGGGGAGCAAUUAUAAACAUGGACCAUGAUCAAAACUGGACAGGAAGGAAAAUAGAGAUAAGAGGGGUGGAAGGUUAAAAAUAGUGAAAAUGAGAUAGAAUGAAUAGGUUGUAGGUCCCUGUAAAGUUGAAGAAGUAUUAUUAUGCAGUACUCGUUAUUGAAAUGAGGUCACUAUGCUUAAGGCACAGUGAAUCCUAGAAAAUAGUGGUUUUGUUUCUCAUUAGGCAAUACAUUCCUCCUUGCUCCAGAAUGCAACAUACAUGUAUCCUUUUCUGUACUAUUUUUUAUUAAGAAUUCAUACUUAAUUCCACUGACUGCCACUCAAUUUUAAUGUACAGUAGGGAAUUCCUGUACUAUGUAUUAUGAAUCCAUUCCUUUGAAUUUCAUUUAUAAUACUUCAUGACUGACACCUGGCUUUCCACCAAGACUCAAUUUUCAUAGCAAGCCUCAUCAUCAUAAGCCCCCAAAUUAACAGGAUGAGGAGGAAGAAUUGGCAGGCUAAAGAAGAUGAUUAUAUCAAUUAAUGCAGAAAAAGCAUUUGAUAAAAUCCAAUAUUCAUUUGUAAUUAAAAACUCUCAGCAAGUUAGGGAUAGGAAUUACUUCAACUUAAUGAAGAGUGUCUUUAAAAACCUUAUUUUCAUCAGUUAUAACAAAUGUACCACUCUGGUGGUGAAUGUUGCUAAGGAGGGAAGCUAUACAUGUGUGGGGAAAGGAGAUGUGUGAGCAAUUUCUGUACCUUCUACUCAAUCUUCU